UGCGUAGGCGGCAUUAUAAGCCAGAGGUGAAAGCUUACAGCUUAACUGUGAAAUUGCCUUUGAAACUGUAAUGCUUGAAUCACGUUGAGGUCAGCGGAAUGUGACAUGUAGCGGUGAAAUGCAUAGAUAUGUCAUAGAACACCAAUUGCGAAGGCAGCUGGCUAGGCGUGUAUUGACGCUGAGGCACGAAAGCGUGGGGAGCGAACAGGAUUAGAUACCCUGGUAGUCC
RNAcentral lists this ribosomal RNA (229 nucleotides) under uncultured bacterium. Its description in RNAcentral is "partial 16S ribosomal RNA". It matches the Rfam family "Bacterial small subunit ribosomal RNA", at positions 568 to 796 of the family's 1533-position model. The record is from RNAcentral.